This 826-nucleotide ribosomal RNA is filed under the name Roussoella yunnanensis. RNAcentral describes it as "Roussoella sp. HJ-2019b partial 28S ribosomal RNA". It matches the Rfam family "Eukaryotic large subunit ribosomal RNA", at positions 75 to 919 of the family's 3401-position model. The record is from RNAcentral. Lineage: Eukaryota; Fungi; Ascomycota; Dothideomycetes; Pleosporales; Thyridariaceae.
UUGCCUCAGUAACGGCGAGUGAAGCGGCAACAGCUCAAAUUUGAAAUCUGGCCCUUUCAGGGUCCGAGUUGUAAUUUGUAGAGGGUGCUUUGGUGUCGGCCGUGGUCUAAGUUCCUUGGAACAGGACGUCACAGAGGGUGAGAAUCCCGUACGUGGCCGCCGGUCUUCACCGUGUAAAGCCCCUUCGACGAGUCGAGUUGUUUGGGAAUGCAGCUCUAAAUGGGAGAUAAAUUUCUUCUAAAGCUAAAUAUUGGCCAGAGACCGAUAGCGCACAAGUAGAGUGAUCGAAAGAUGAAAAGCACUUUGGAAAGAGAGUCAAAAAGCACGUGAAAUUGUUGAAAGGGAAGCGCUUGCAGCCAGACGUGCCCGCAGUUGCUCACCUGGGCUCUCGCCCGGGGCAUUCUUCUGCGGGCAGGCCAGCAUCAGUUCGGGCGGUUGGAUAAAGGCCUCUAUCACGUAUCUUCCUUCGGGAUGACCUUAUAGGGGAGGCGCAACACGGCCAGCCUGAACUGAGGACCGCGCAUCAGCUAGGAUGCUGGCGUAAUGGCUGUAAGCGGCCCGUCUUGAAACACGGACCAAGGAGUCUAACAUCUAUGCGAGUGUUUGGGUGUCAAGCCCGGACGCGCAAUGAAAGUGAACGGAGGUGGGAACCUUUCGGGGUGCACCAUCGACCGAUCCUGAAGUCUUCGGAUGGAUUUGAGUAAGAGCAUAGCUGUUGGGACCCGAAAGAUGGUGAACUAUGCCUGAAUAGGGUGAAGCCAGGGGAAACCCUGGUGGAGGCUCGCAGCGGUUCUGACGUGCAAAUCGAUCGUCAAAUUUGGGCAUA